This 962-nucleotide long non-coding RNA is filed under the name Homo sapiens (human). Its description in RNAcentral is "long intergenic non-protein coding RNA 1322". The record is from RNAcentral. Lineage: Eukaryota; Metazoa; Chordata; Mammalia; Primates; Hominidae.
GCUGGAGAGAAUGAGCUUGGAGCCGCAGGGCUUAAUCCCGCGCGGCUCAGAGAUGGGUUUCUGGACUCGCGAAGCAGCUGCAACAAGGCAUCACUCACUGUAUAAGUAUUUCCAUUUCUGAGAGCAAAAGGAAGAACUUAAGCGGGCGGCACUUGGAGUGUAAAUUGCUUUGUAGUAUUUAAAGGCAGAAUGGAUCCUGGGCAGCCGAGCUGCAACAAACCGGCAGGACUUCCUGUGAAAUCAUGACCACCAUGUGCUCUUUCAGCCUCUAUCAGUUCCUACCUCUAAGCACCUGAGAGCCAAAGCAAACCACAGGAAACCACAGGUACUAACUCUUUUAGACCUGAUGAAGUGUCUCCCAAAUACAGUCUGGCAUGAAUGAAAGCCAAGCAUAUUCCAUCAUUUCCUAAAACCAAGAUAGAGCACAUAUGGGAACUUGUGAAAUAAGCUUCUUUGGACCUUUUAAGUUGCAUUAUCCCAUAAAAUGUGGUGGAUUCAAUGUUGUAUGGCCUGUAAAACUAAGUAAUGAAGGCUGAUAUGUACCCACCUGGCUCUGUCUUGGGAUCACACAACUUGGGAGCCAAAACAGGUGAGGAUGGGGAGGUGUCAAACAAGACCUAACCUCUCAACAAUCAGCUGGACACUGUUGUGUAAGAAUGUGAAGCUUGGCACUGCUGCAGCCAUCUUGUUCCAGGAAGGGUAAAACCUGAGGUUAGAAGCCAACAUCCUAAUGAUGGCAGAGAAGACAAAGAGAACCAGAGUCUAAAUGACAUUGUUGAGUUAGAUCACUACACUACCUCUAGUCUUCUUUUUAUGUGUGAUAAUAAAUCUCACUUAUACUUAAGCCAUUUGAAGUUGAGUCUAAUGUUCAUUUCAGACCAAAGCAGCUUAACUGACAUGUUCUCCGCUUUGUUACCCUAUCCAGUUGUUUUCAUGCAGGAAAUAAAUCUCAAAUUACCUCA